RNAcentral lists this ribosomal RNA (320 nucleotides) under uncultured eukaryote. RNAcentral describes it as "partial 18S ribosomal RNA". It matches the Rfam family "Eukaryotic small subunit ribosomal RNA", at positions 1470 to 1796 of the family's 1831-position model. The record is from RNAcentral.
CCCUUAGAUGUUCUGGGCCGCACGCGUGUUACAAUCGGGAGUACAACAAGAUUGCAAAUCCUAGUGGAUGAGUGGUUCUUCGAAAUUUUCUGAAGACUGGGAUAGUUGAUUGAAAUUAUUCAACUCGAACGAGGAAUUCCUUGUAAUUGUAAUUCAUUAUAUUGUAAUGAAUACGUCCCUGCCCUUUGUACACACUGCCCGUCGCUCCUACCGAUUGAACGAUCCGGUGAAUUAUUUGGAGUAGCUCUGGAAGUUGCAGAACUUCCUAUGUCACGAAAUUUUGUAAACCUUAUCGUUUAGGGGAAGGAAAAGUCGUAACA